GCCCUUGUAGUAUAAUCAAUACACUGGCCUUGUAAACCAGAAAUGAGCAUUCCUCCCAGGGCAAU
This 65-nucleotide transfer RNA is filed under the name Macaca leucogenys. Its description in RNAcentral is "tRNA-Thr". It matches the Rfam family "tRNA". From Rfam's summary of the family: Transfer RNA (tRNA) molecules are approximately 80 nucleotides in length. Their secondary structure includes four short double-helical elements and three loops (D, anti-codon, and T loops). The record is from RNAcentral. Lineage: Eukaryota; Metazoa; Chordata; Mammalia; Primates; Cercopithecidae.